Molecule: long non-coding RNA, 531 nt
Organism: Hyla sarda
Lineage: Eukaryota; Metazoa; Chordata; Amphibia; Anura; Hylidae
Exons: 3
Source: RefSeq, a predicted model, not a curated record
GUCCCAUAAAUACACGGGUUGCCGUGACGUAAGUGGAGGCUGGAAGAAGUGCGCCUGUUGAACAAAACUAGCGGUUAUAGCCUCUGAGCCCCCGUGCAAGUCCCAUACCUCCAUGACAGCUUCUUCAUAGCAAUUGGCAGAUUGCGCCUUUACACUUGGGAUGAACAAAUUUUCUAGUAAACUAGAAAAAAAAAAGUGACAAACACCAUGAUGAAAUUUGCACCUGCAAAAAUCCUGGGGGGUUAAAGCAAUGAAGCUUCACAGCAUUCAUUGUGAAAACAUGAAAUAUGACCGUGGUUGCACCAGCAAUGUUACAGUGUUUGACCUUGCCUAUUCAUCAUACUGUAUGGUACACCUUAACCACUCAGAGAUAUGAAAGCUUAAAGAAUUUUUAAGGAAUCAGUGUGAUAGACUUGGCAGGUGCAACACAUAAGAGGCAAGAUUUAUGGACAGUAAUAAACAGUAAUACAUUAGCAAUAUACCUUAUAAUAAUUAUUAAUCAAUUUAAGGAAUACUGUAAAAGUUAAAUUA